ACCAUAUCACGCUGAAACACCGGUUCUCGUUCGAUCACCGAAGUUAAGCAUCGUAGAGUCAGGUCAGUACUUAGAUGGGGGACCGCUUGGGAACACCUGGUACUGUAAG
RNAcentral lists this ribosomal RNA (109 nucleotides) under Acanthosepion pharaonis. Lineage: Eukaryota; Metazoa; Mollusca; Cephalopoda; Sepiida; Sepiidae. The record is from RNAcentral.